GGGGUUGUUUGGUUUUGACAGCGGGUAGAAGGGAUGUGUAAGCAUGCAGUGCGUGGUGUGAUUAGCACUUAAAUCUCAGUCCUCAAAAUUUAUCUGGCGAAUCUAAUAAUUACGCUCUUGCUGCCUGAUCGAAGUUCAGUAAAUCGGGCUUAAUCCUGGCACAAGGUGCUGGGACGAGACAUCACUCAGGAACUCUUGCUCCGAAGUAACCUGGUUCAGUGGUGCGGUCAUAUCGGGGAUAGUCUUCAUGGGCCUCGCCAUGCGGAUGAAGUUUUAGAGGAUAAGGCGUAGGUUGGCUGCCUUGGGUCUGCCUGCGCACGAAAAAUAAACUAAGGCUAAGCAUGUAGAAAGCGCAUUUGUUCCUCGUUUGGACGCGGGUUCGACUCCCGCCAGCUCCACUC
Molecule: transfer-messenger RNA, 401 nt
Filed under: Bacteroidaceae
Lineage: Bacteria; Pseudomonadati; Bacteroidota; Bacteroidia; Bacteroidales
Also listed under: 1 other name
Description: UBA2918 sp017650045 Standard tmRNA
Rfam family: transfer-messenger RNA
About the family: Bacterial tmRNA, also known as 10Sa RNA or SsrA, is named for its dual tRNA and mRNA-like properties. Its role is to liberate the mRNA from a stalled ribosome. To accomplish this part of the tmRNA is used as a reading frame that ends in a translation stop signal.
Source: RNAcentral